UCUCGCCUACGGGGCGCAGCAGUGGGGAAUCUUCCGCAAUGGGCGCAAGCCUGACGGAGCAAUGCCGCGUGAACGAAGAAGGUCCUCGGAUUGUAAAGUUCUGUCCUUAUCGAAGAGAGGGUAUAGAGUGAAAAAUGAUAUACUAGGACGGUAGAUGAGGAGGAAGCCCCGGCUAACCACGUGCCAGCAGCCGCGGUAAUACGUAGGGGGCGAGCGUUGUCCGGAAUCACUGGGCGUAAAGGGCGCGUAGGCGGUAAUGUAAGUCAGAUGGGAAAGGUGGGGGCUCACCCCCUAGAGUGCAACUG
RNAcentral lists this ribosomal RNA (305 nucleotides) under uncultured bacterium. Its description in RNAcentral is "bacterial SSU rRNA". It matches the Rfam family "Bacterial small subunit ribosomal RNA", at positions 333 to 629 of the family's 1533-position model. The record is from RNAcentral.